RNAcentral lists this ribosomal RNA (479 nucleotides) under uncultured bacterium. RNAcentral's name for it is "bacterial SSU rRNA". It matches the Rfam family "Bacterial small subunit ribosomal RNA", at positions 28 to 517 of the family's 1533-position model. The record is from RNAcentral.
GAUGAACGCUGGCGGCGUGCUUAACACAUGCAAGUCGAACGAAGAUGCCGGAGUGCUUGCACUUUGGCAGACUGAGUGGCGGACGGGUGAGUAACGCGUGGGUAACCUGCCUUAUACAGGGGGAUAACAGUUGGAAACGACUGCUAAUACCGCAUAAGCGCACGGUAUCGCAUGAUACAGUGUGAAAAACUCCGGUGGUAUAAGAUGGACCCGCGUCUGAUUAGCUUGUUGGUGAGGUAACGGCCCACCAAGGCGACGAUCAGUAGCCGGCCUGAGAGGGUGAACGGCCACAUUGGGACUGAGACACGGCCCAAAACUCCUACGGGAGGCAGCAGUGGGGAAUAUUGCACAAUGGAGGAAACUCUGAUGCAGCGACGCCGCGUGAGUGAAGAAGUAAUCGUUAUGUAAAGCUCUAUCAGCAGGGAAGACAGUGACGGUACCUGACUAAGAAGCUCCGGCUAAAUACGUGCCAGCAGCCG